This 380-nucleotide ribosomal RNA is filed under the name Achnanthidium minutissimum. RNAcentral's name for it is "partial small subunit ribosomal RNA". It matches the Rfam family "Eukaryotic small subunit ribosomal RNA", at positions 30 to 432 of the family's 1831-position model. The record is from RNAcentral. Lineage: Eukaryota; Bacillariophyta; Bacillariophyceae; Cocconeidales; Achnanthidiaceae.
GCUUGUCUCAAAGAUUAAGCCAUGCACGUCUAAGUAUAAAUAUUUCACUUUGAAACUGCGAAUGGCUCAUUAUAUCAGUUAUAGUUUAUUUGAUAGUCCCUUACUAUUUGGAUAACCGUAGUAAUUCUAGAGCUAAUACAUGCGUCAAUACCUUUCGGGGUAGUAUUUAUUAGAUUGAAACCAACCCCUUCGGGGUGAUGUGGUGAUUCAUAAUAACUUUCGGAUCGACGCAAGUCGAUGCAUCAUUCAAGUUUCUGCCCUAUCAGUUGUGGAUGGUAGGGUAUUGGCCUACCAUGACUUUAACGGGUAACGGAGAAUUAGGGUUCGAUUCCGGAGAGGGAGCCUGAGAAAUGGCUACCACAUCCAAGGAAGGCAGCAGG